UACAGGGGGGGCAAGCGUUGUUCGGAAUUACUGGGCGUAAAGGGCCAGUAGGCGGCCAACUAAGUCACACGUGAAAUCCCCAGGCUUAACCUGGGAACUGCGUGUGAUACUGGAUGGCUUGAAUUCGGGAGAGGGAUGCAGAAUUCCAGGUGUAGCGGUGAAAUGCGUAGAUAUCAGGAGGAACACCGGUGGCGAAAGCGGCUCUCUGGACCACAACUGACGCUGAGGCGCGAAAGCUAGGGGAGCAAACAGG
This 253-nucleotide ribosomal RNA is filed under the name uncultured bacterium. RNAcentral's name for it is "partial 16S ribosomal RNA". It matches the Rfam family "Bacterial small subunit ribosomal RNA", at positions 524 to 776 of the family's 1533-position model. The record is from RNAcentral.